GAAAUGUCAACUGCCAGUUUAACGUAGAAAAUAAAACGUGCAGUAUCGGGGCACAAAUACUACAGAACAGUAUUUUAAUUUUGCAGUACUUAUUUUUUAGACUGAUUUGCGCAGACGUUUGUGUCAAAAUAUCAAAAUAGCGCAAACUAUAAUACUGCAUGAACGUAUAGGCCGACCAAUAACCUGCAAUAACUCUCUAUUGUUUUUUUAUUGUUAUCAUAACCACAAAUUGACGUGUACACAAAUAAACAUACAUUUCUGUCUUUAACUGCAAAAAUUUCAAAGUUAGUGCUUGUGUAAUGGCCUUAUUGUGCACUCUUUUGAACUUAUUUGGUGUCAGUUGUUGUGCAAUGCUCUGACUGCGCCGGAAAGGCUCUGCUCUCCAAUACGUGUUGCUCUGUGUAUGGAACCUGAACAUCUAUUGUCGUCCACAAGUCGUUGUUCCCUUUGUUGGCGUACUCGGUGGUUGCUAUGGGAUCGCAUCCUAACCACGUCGCUUACCCGUCAUUAUCCACCACAGGAAUUUGAUCCACUGACAGUUGCCUCAUGAGCUGUACCGCCUUGUCAGCUGUCAUUGACGAAGUAGCCACCUGAAGGGUGGGCAGUUUGAGGUCGGCAAUUGUCUUGUACCACCACCUUCAAUCAAUGUCUUUGGCGGCUUCGAGUGCUGCCACCACAUUGGCUCCGCUUGAUGAGCCUGAAAUAUCCAGCUGUCUACAAUGGCAAUGAAUGAAAAAAUUGGAGCCUCACCGCAAAGCAAACCCUCUUCUUUAAUAAGCCGGCGCGCCAUGGGGAGCGAUUUGGAAUCGUGCGUUUUCACCCAUAUAUCCACCACAGAUCUAUCCAGAAUGGUAGGCAGGAAAUCGUAACCUAUCCGUAAAGUGAGGAAAGUAAAUCGAUGGAAAAAAUUAAUUUCAGAGUCUUGCCUAUGCCCUCUACUUCGUAGAAAGUUACGUCUGUUUUGUUCAGAUCGUCGGGCAACGCCAAUACGGAGCCCUCGGGAUCGGCAGCCACAAUUUUCGUUUGGGGAGAAAUUUCUUUAAAUUUCCGUCCAAUGCCGCAAACAGUGCCACCCGUUCCGGCGCCGAUCACCUGCAAGACAAUCAAGCAUGAUCAACUACCGUAGAAUAGGUACGAGUUCCUCUUACAAUCAUAGCCACUUGCUGAUCGCAUUGAUCGAAAAUUUCUUCUGCGGUGGUGUCGUAGUGCGCCAAAGGAUUACCCGGAUUGGAGUACUGAAAAUGCCCCUUAGAUUGCUCCGAGAGCCCGAAGAGUGGACACCUUCUCGUUGGACAUUUUCUCGGACAUGACAACGAUGCACCGAUAACCUGAAGACAGCGAUUGCUCAGAGAAUGUAUACGUGAGACAGCUACGGCUCUCGAAAAUCUACCUUUCACGGCUGCGGCCAGCGCCAAGCCAAUGCCGGUGUUUCCAGAGGUCGGUUCAAUGAUGGUAUAGCCAGGCUUCAAGAGGCCUUGGCGCUCUGCGUCUUCGACCAUCCUGAACCCAAUGCGGUCCUUUACCGAACCACCUGGGUUGAAGUACUCGCACUUAACAUCUGCAAAUUGUAAACCACAAAACUUUUGUAGUCGGCGAAUUUAUUCGACUAUUGAACCACUUACAAAUAUUGGCUUUAAUUCCUGCA
Molecule: long non-coding RNA, 1645 nt
Organism: Dendroctonus ponderosae (mountain pine beetle)
Lineage: Eukaryota; Metazoa; Arthropoda; Insecta; Coleoptera; Curculionidae
Exons: 4
Source: RefSeq, a predicted model, not a curated record